AUUAAAUUCAGCUCCCCUUCUGUGCUGACAAGGGACUCAAGCAGCAUUAGAACUUCAUCCAGGUGAGAGAUCAUUGACUGUAUUGUGGCUUCUCGCCAGCCAAAUUCUAGGCUGGCAAAGUUCAGAUGAGGGAAGGCUACUGAUCUGGGCUGGUUUAGAGACAUAACACUACCUCCUGAAAUGUCAUCGUAAUGACAAAUAGGGAGACCUACAUGGUGACAAAGCUAAUGAAACCUGGCAAAGGAGUCAGUCAAGUGGCUUGAAAAGACAGAGGCAAGUGCACUACCUGGAUCUUCCUUUAAUCUUGCACCAUCUCACAUGUUUGGAAAUCGAUUAAAUCCCAACUCAGCAACAGCUACUCUUAUUGCACAGUCUGAAACAAAUCCACAAGGUAAGUUUGACUGAAGUUGAAAAGGGUGAAAAAUAAGUGGCAUUGCAUUUCUAGUUUUUCUUUGUUUUUGAGAUAUGGUACUUCCAAAUAGAAGUUGCAUACUGAUGAACUUAAUACUGCAGAAAUUUUAAAAAUAUACUUGUUGAAUGGCCAAUCUAUGUUUAUCAGUUUGUACUAAUUAAUUUUUGAAGAUCUCAGUAAUUCAGUUUAUUUGUUUCAAUCUGAAACAUGCUAGAGUGAGAAAUGGAUUUAUGGUGACAAGGGUACAGAAUUUGAGUCAAAUACGAUGGCUUAUGUUUUAACAAUGUUUAACUGGACUAAAAUUUGAUAUUUUGGACAAACCAUUCAUCAGCAUUGAGCCAGCUGAGCUGGAUGCAAUCACUGUGUCUAUGAAACCAACCCUUUCUUUGUUUGUCAUUCUGACUAUUAUGUGGAUGGAAAGAUAGUAUGAGGCAAAGAAAGAUCUUUAGUGGGGACUAGAGUUAACAAUGCAUCAAUAGAAGGAAGAAAUGUAAUUGCUGGAACUGCUAUGUUAUUCCAGAUUGGAUAUGCCAGAAUAGAACCAAGCAAAGGCAGUUCCACUAAGUUGGAGAACAGAGGCAAGGUAUUGGAAGAGACUGGUGUGGUUCACCAUGUCAGUAUAUUUAACAAUCAUAGAGAAUGUGACCUCAUUACAUGCAUUUGUGCUGCAAUGUGGUACGAACUGGAUUGGUGUUGAUGGAAGAAGGAAGGACAUAGAUUUAGGAAAAAAGUGCUUUGGAAGUUAGUGAUAGCAGAGCAGUUUGCAUUACUUUUCAGGUUCAAGGAAAAUUUUGCUUGAUUGUGGCUUGGAAGGGUAAAGGGCAAUGACAGGAAAGACAUAAUACUUACUUGGUGAUCAAUAAGUGAAAUUACCUGAUCAGAAGCUUAGUGGGAAUAAGGUCCAAGGAGUACAGAAUGAUUGUCAUAAACAAAGUGAAGUGAAAAGAACACGAAAGAAGAAUGAAAAAAUUUAAAGACACUUGGCAGGCCUGGUGUAAAACUGCAAGCUUUGCUUGUGAGAUGAUACACAGGUGGUUCUGUUAUAAUGUGCAUUUCAUCAACACAAAUUUGCUGUAAUGUGAUUGACGAACUGGGAAUGUGGUUUCUGCAGCGCAAACCUUUAAAAUGUGUGUUUUGGGUGUAAUGUGAUUACAUAACUAACACUUUAAGUGCUGUUUCUAAAGUGCAAUUAUUCUAUAACUCAGAUGCACAAGAACGCAACCAUUGCAUUAAAGAAGAACUGACUGUACAUGUAAAAAAACUGAACAAAUGUUUCAAACUUGCAACAAAAAAGCUGUAAACUCUUUAUACUUGUUUUUGAAGCGAGGACUGAGGGAACCUUACAAGAGGAGCUCAAGGAGAAAGUGUUCAUCCACCUUUUGGAGGAUUGUGCAGCAGUAUAUGCUUUAGCAGAGAAUGAUCCCAAUAGCAAUUUAAGUGAUUGAAUCAGAUUUGAUGAUUAAGUUCCAGAUUAUCUUAAAUCUGCAUUCCUUGGAAUUAAGAGUAUGAAGAUGGUUUAUAGGGAACAAGUGCCUCAAAGAUACAGGUAAGAGAAUGGCUGAUCAGCUAGACAGCUGCAGAAACCUAAAGGCUGAUGAUUUUGAAAGUACCAGUGCAAGUGACUUGGCAAGACGUGGAGCAAAAAGGGUGGGAAGUGGCAAGAGAAUUUGGUGAAUGAUGAAAUUAAAAGGUUGGAGAUUGCCUUAUCUACAUUCACGACUGAGUAGAGUUGUGACUAAAUGCCAAAAUCGAAGACAUGGUCACAGAUAUUGUUUUGAAAGUUUAUAGGAAUAUAGGAAUGGGAGGCCAUUCAUGCCCUCGAGCCUGAUCUGCCAUUCAAUGAAAUCGAGGCUGAUGUGUGGCCUAACUCUAAAUAUCUGUCUUUGGCCCAUAUCCUUUAAAAUCUUUGCUUAACAAAGAAUUAUCUAUCUUAGAUUUGAAAUUAAUAACUGAUUCAGCAUACACUGUCAUUUUCUGGAAAAGAGUUCCAAACAUCUGCCACCCUUUGUAUAUAGAACUGCUACCUUACAUCUCACCUUAACGGUCUAACCCUAAUUCUCAGACUUUGCCCCUUAAUUCUAGAAUCCCCAACUAGUGGAAACAGUUUAUCUGCCCUGUAUUUACCUGUUAAUAAAUUGACUUCGACCAGAUUACCCUUUAACCUUCUAAAUUCUAGAGAAAGCAGCUUAAUUUGUGUAAUCUGUUCGCAUAACUUAAUCUCUGAAUGCUUGGUAUCAUUGUUACAAACCUACGUGGUACUCCUUCCAAGGCCCGUACAUCCUUCCAAGACUGUGGUGCCCAGACCUGCUUUCAGUGCCCCAAGUGGAGUCUAGCUAGCAUUUUAUAUAACUGCAGCAUAACCUGUGCAUUCUUAUACUCCAGUCCUCUAGAUAUAAAAUACAGAAUUCCAUUAGCUUGCUUGAUUAUUUUCUGUACCCGUUUGUGACAUUUCAAAGAUCUACGCAUUUGAAUACCUCAGUUAUUUUGGACAUCCACUAUAUUUAACUUCAUACCGUGUUGAAGGAACCCAGACCUACCCCUUUUCAGUCCAAAAUGGGUGACCUCACAUUUGCUUACAUAACAGAAUCCCUACAGCACAGAAAGAGAUCAUUCAGCCUAUCAAGUCUGCACUUACCCUCCGAACAUCCCACCUAGACAAAAUAGCCAUAAAUUUGUAGUUUUUAUUUUAAAUGAUUUAUUUUGUGCAUAUAUGGUGACAGCAAUAUGUAAGUCUACGUAUUUUUCACAGAAUGGUAAGGGGCAGCACAGACAGCGAACUUUGCCUUAAUCAACAGGGAGUAAAGUGUCAGAAAGUAGAGAAGUAGUGAUCAUUUAGGUCGGGCAUUGAAAGUGAAUGCGUGCUGGAGAGAGAGAGAAAUGAUGGAUGAAAUGAAUGGGGGAUGGGAAAAGCGUGUUCCAAUAGUCUGAAAGCAACAAAGGAGAUGAGGCUUGAGUUUGGAGCAGUACCCAUUGCUGAGGGAUGUCUGGUUACAAUAGUAAUACAGGUGUUAGGAGUUAUCUCUGUGGUCUUCAGUAGUGCAAAAGGAAGAAUUGUUAUGAAAGAGUUGAUGUCUGGUGGGAUAAAAUUGCUAUGAGUUAACAUGGCACAUAAAUGACCAGCACCCAAGUUCAGACAUUUGUGUCCUGAGACAUUUGAUUCAAGGACAACAUCUCCCCACACCAUCAUGGCACCUUUGUUGCAAUCGCAGAAGAUGUAAUGUCUACCUGUUUACUUUCUCCCUCCUCACUGUCCAAGGCCUCAGACACACUUUACCCAUUC
This is a non-coding RNA of Chiloscyllium plagiosum (whitespotted bambooshark), 3692 nucleotides long. Lineage: Eukaryota; Metazoa; Chordata; Chondrichthyes; Orectolobiformes; Hemiscylliidae. The record is from RefSeq and is a predicted model, not a curated record.